UAGCCGUACCGGAAGGUGCGGCUGGAUCACCUCCUUUCUAAGGAGCACAUUUAGUUGGCCAUGCUACCCGCGAGUGUCGGGUGGGUGGUUUUGCUCAUGGGUGGAAUGUUGGUUUUGGGUUGGAUGAGGCGCAUUGUUGGGUUUUGGGGUAACACGCAUGUGUUGUUCCUUUGUUUGCCUGGCAUCGAUGAAGAACGCAGC
This 201-nucleotide unclassified non-coding RNA is filed under the name uncultured fungus. RNAcentral's name for it is "sequence contains ITS1, 5.8S rRNA gene". Lineage: Eukaryota; Fungi. The record is from RNAcentral.